GGCAGUGUGGCAUAGUGGGCUGAGUGUCGGACUAUGACUCUGGAGGCCUGGGUUCAAAUCCCAGCUCUGCCA
This is a non-coding RNA of Sceloporus undulatus (fence lizard), 72 nucleotides long. The record is from the annotation of a RefSeq genome assembly. NCBI's taxonomy places the organism in Eukaryota, Metazoa, Chordata, Lepidosauria, Squamata, Phrynosomatidae.